This 74-nucleotide transfer RNA is filed under the name Rhamnusium bicolor. Its description in RNAcentral is "tRNA-OTHER". Lineage: Eukaryota; Metazoa; Arthropoda; Insecta; Coleoptera; Cerambycidae. The record is from RNAcentral.
GGCUUCGUGGCAGAGUGGUAAGGACACUUGCCUCUUACCCUGGAGUCCCGGGUUCGAUCUCUGGUCGAGGACCU